Molecule: ribosomal RNA, 254 nt
Filed under: uncultured bacterium
Lineage: Bacteria
Description: partial 16S ribosomal RNA
Rfam family: Bacterial small subunit ribosomal RNA
Source: RNAcentral
UACGGGGGGAGCAAGCGUUGUUCGGAUUUACUGGGCGUAAAGGGCGCGUAGGCGGCCACCGCAAGUCGGUUGUGAAAUCUCUGGGCUUAACCCAGAAAGGUCAACCGAUACUGCGGGGCUAGAGUGCAGAAGGGGCAACUGGAAUUCUCGGUGUAGCGGUGAAAUGCGUAGAUAUCGGGAGGAACACCUGUGGCGAAAGCGGCGCACUGGACCACAACUGACGCUGAGGCGCGAAAGCUAGGGGAGCAAACAGG